RNAcentral lists this ribosomal RNA (405 nucleotides) under uncultured bacterium. Its description in RNAcentral is "bacterial SSU rRNA". It matches the Rfam family "Bacterial small subunit ribosomal RNA", at positions 355 to 776 of the family's 1533-position model. The record is from RNAcentral.
UUAGGAAUCUUGCGCAAUGGGCGAAAGCCUGACGCAGUGACGUCGCGUGCCGGAUGAAGGCCUUCGGGCUGUAAACGGCUUUUCUGCCGGACGAAUUUUGACGGUACGGCAUGAAUAAGCUCCGGCUAACUACGUGCCAGCAGCCGCGGUAAGACGUAGGGAGCAAGCGUUAUCCGGAAUUAUUGGGCGUAAAGAGUGCGUAGGCAGUCUGAUUGGUCUUAUAUUAAACAUUUUGGCUCAACCAAAAAAAUGUAUAAGAUACCGUCAGACUAGAGACUAAUAGAGGCAGGUGGAAUUCCCGGUGGAGCAGUGAAAUGCGUUGAUAUCGGGAGGAACACCAAUGGCGAAGGCAGCCUGCUAGGUUAGUUCUGACGCUGAGGCACGAAAGCGUGGGUAGCGAACGGG